Molecule: long non-coding RNA, 1304 nt
Organism: Strigops habroptila (Kakapo)
Lineage: Eukaryota; Metazoa; Chordata; Aves; Psittaciformes; Psittacidae
Exons: 3
Source: RefSeq, a predicted model, not a curated record
CACCGCCGCCGCCAUGUUGGCCGCCUCCAUCCCGCCCCUCUUCCCGCCCAACGCGCUGACGUCACAUCCGCCUUCUCCUUCCCGUCCCGGCUUGGCCGCAGCCAUGUCUCUCGUCAUCCCGGAGAAGUUCCAGCACAUCCUGCGCGUGCUCAACACCAACAUCGACGGGAGGCGCAAGAUCGCCUUCGCCAUCACCGCCAUCAAGGUGCGCCCCCGAGCGGGGACCCCCUUGUGGGUGAUGGGGAGCCCUUAUGGGUGCCAGGGAUCCCCCCAUGGGUGAUAGACACCCUUUAUGGGUGCCAGGGACCCCCGUAUGGGUGCCAGGGACUCCCCUGUGGGUGAUGGGCAUCCCCCUUGGGGAGCAGGGACCCGCCUAUGGGUGACAGGGACACCCUAUGGGUGACAGGGACCCCUUAUGGGUGAUGGGGACCCCUUAUGGGUGGCAGGGACCCCCCUAUGGCUGAUGGGGACCUCCCCUUGGGGAGCAGGGACCUCCCUAUGGGUGACAGGGACCCCCCCCCUUGGGGGGCAGGGACACCUUCUCCAUGGGUGCAAGGGCUUCUUAUGAGUGCCAGGGACCCCCCCUUGCCUGAUAGACACUGCUUAUGAGGGCAGGGACACCCCUGUGAGUGAUUGGGACCCCCCCUUGGGGAGCAGGGACCCCCCUAUGGGUGAUGAGGACCCCCCCCUUGGGGAGCAGGGACCCCUUAUGGGUGGCAGGGACACCCCUGUGGGUGACAGGGACCCCUUGUGGGUGACGGGGACCCCCCCUUGGGGAGCAGGGACCCCCCUAUGGGUGAUGGGGACCCCCCUAUAGGUGCCAGGGACCCCACUAUGGGUGCCAAGAAUCCCUUAUGGGUGGCAGGGAGCCCUCUAUGGGUGAUGGGGACCCCUUAUGGGGGCAGGGACCCCCCUAUGGGUGAUGGGGACCCCCCUAUAGGUGCCAGGGACCCCACUAUGGGUGCCAAGAACCCCUUAUGGGUGGCAGGGAGCCCUCUAUGGGUGAUGGGGACCCCUUAUGGGGGCAGGGACCCCCUUAUGGGUGACGGGGACCCCUUAUGGGUUAUGGGGACCCCUUAUGGGGGCAGGGACCCCCUUAUGGGUGACGGGGACCCCUUAUGGGUUAUGGGGACCCCUUAUGGGGGCAGGGACCCCCUUAUGGGUGACGGGGACCCCUUAUGGGUUAUGGGGACCCCUUAUGGGGGCAGGGACCCCCUUAUGGGUGACGGGGACCCCUUAUGGGUGACGGGGACCCCUUAUGGGUGGCAGGGAUCCCCCUAUGGGUGACGGGGACACCCGUAUGG